Cucumis melo (muskmelon) is the source of this 2039-nucleotide long non-coding RNA. RefSeq lists it as uncharacterized. The transcript is spliced from 2 exons. The record is from RefSeq and is a predicted model, not a curated record. Lineage: Eukaryota; Viridiplantae; Streptophyta; Magnoliopsida; Cucurbitales; Cucurbitaceae.
UUUGGAAUCAAGUAGGCUUGGCAUUUAAUGCCAAAGCCCACGUUUGGCCCAUGGUCUAAAACAAUGGGAUUAAGAGAGGGGGUAAAUGGGCGGUUUAAUUUUUUUACAAAAUAAAAAAAAAAAAAAAAAACCUCUUUCCUCUUAAUUUCUUCUCAAUCUUUCAUUGCCUCUCUCCCAUCUCUUCUUCUUUGUGCAUCAAACCCUAGCCGCUCUUCAUCUCCUCGCGUCUUCGUCUCUUCUAAUUUCUCUUCUGUCUCUUUUUUUUUUCUCAUACAAAGAAGCAAGAUGUCAAGAACAAGGAUAUAUGGAAGUUCCUACGGUAUCUACUCCAAGAAAGAGAAGUUGGAGCUUGAAGGUGAUCAAUACAAGUGUAAGUUAUAUCUACACUUAGUUUCUCUUUUGGAAUUUUUUUUUUCACGAUGACUAACUUAAUUUUGUGAUGUUUCUUUUUUGUGUCUUCCCUUUGAAAAUACAUCACAAUUUUAGUUAAGGCACAAAAACAAUGCUCCUAACCCAUUUUUCACUUACGAAUCUAAUAAUAAUGAUUUAACAUUAUAUUUCAUGUGUACAUUGCAUUAACAUUAUAUUGAUCUUGAAUUUUUAGUUAUGUGAAGCUUAGAUGUUCAUUAACCAUUUAUUUUAAAACAUCAAAGUUUAAUUUUUUAUUCAUUUGCAAUUGUGGAACAUUUUGGUUAUCUGUUUGUUUUAAAACAUCAAGUUUUGAUAUUUUGAUUACUUUUCUAAAUCAAGGUUUAUAAAUAAGUUUGUGUAGUCUUAGUGUUUGAGUUUUAAAAUAUUUUGGUAUCUUGAUUUGUUUAUUUGUUAGUUGAGAAAUUUAAUUUUGACAAAACUGAUUUGAUAGUGGAUAAAACUGAUUUGAUAGUGUUGACAAUUUGACAGUGGAAAAUAGUUGAGAGGGAUUUAAAUUUAGAAAUCUUAUUUUUAUUUAUAUAUGGGAUAGUUGUAUUUGUAUUAAAAAAAUUUAAUGCUUACUUUUGGUAGUUGAGGCAUUUAAUUUUUGGAAAUCUUUAUUUUAUUUUAUUUGUAUAUAAUGCAUAGUAAUUAUUAUUUUUUUUCAUUUAUCAAUGGUGGUUGAGUGAUUUGAAAGGAAAAAUUUAUUAGUUCACACACCCAUUUGUUUUAAAUAGAGCAUUUCUCCCUCAUUUCUAAACACACAACCUCUUUGUUUUGUUUCUAAAAUUUACUUUCUUUGAGGUUGAGGUCAUAACAUGCUCCCAUAUCUUUGAGUGGUAACUAUUUUACAUUUAUUUUAUAUAGACUUUGUUUUAUAUAUAUUAUUUUUUUUCUCAUACUAUUAUUUUCCUUCUUUUUCCAUUGUUCAUUGAUAUUUUGUUUGGGUAUGUAUAUUUUACUUUGUUAAUGUGGAUUUUUCUUUUUACUUUGUUAAUGUGGUUUUUACUUUGUUUUCCAACUACCAAGAAGUAAGUUCAAUUAUAUUAGUUCCACUUAUCUCAUCUCAUUGACCGUUCUAUUUUGUUUUUUUUUUAAGGUUUGUCUUAGCCUUGUCUUGCAUAAUCACACCAUUACGUAAUGUGCUCUUUUCUUUUCUAUAUUUGUAUAUGGACUUUUGUGUUUUUUAUUUCUUUGUUACUACAUUUAUGUUUUGUAUAUUAUGAUUGUGUUAUAUUUGUCAAAUUAUUUAGUUUAACUUUUGAGAAUACUGUGAAAUUUAAUUUGUAAUAUUAUCUUUUUCUUUUUAAGUUAAUUUAUAUUGUUCAUUUGUUGUGAUAAAAUAUAAGGGUUACACGCAUUGCUUGACUACCCAGCAGAAUGGAAGUAUAGAAAAUGCAUGCGUAUCUUAGGAAGGCAACCAUAACCUUAACUAAAGUAACUUUACUUGAUUUUCACUUUUGUUUGAGCCUUUGGUUGCUUACUUUUGAAACGAACUAGACCCCUUGCUUAACUAUAGCUUUUGUAAACCCCAUCAAAUUAAACGACUUGUUAUAUUUUGUGGAUGGAUUGUAAUAUUCCUAAUUAGAGCAACCAUGUUAAUGCAAUUUAGAUCAAAAUUAUUAUUA